This 448-nucleotide ribosomal RNA is filed under the name uncultured bacterium. Its description in RNAcentral is "bacterial SSU rRNA". It matches the Rfam family "Bacterial small subunit ribosomal RNA", at positions 329 to 793 of the family's 1533-position model. The record is from RNAcentral.
UACCAGACUCCUACGGGAGGCAGCAGUGGGGAAUAUUGCACAAUGGGGGAAACCCUGAUGCAGCAACGCCGCGUGAGUGAAGAAGUAUUUCGGUAUGUAAAGCCCUAUCAGCAGGGAAGAAGGAAGACGGUACCUGACUAAGAAGCCCCGGCUAACUACGUGCCAGCAGCCGCGGUAAUACGUAGGGGGCGAGCGUUAUCCGGAUUUACUGGGUGUAAAGGGAGCGUAGACGGUUAAUCAAGUCUGAAGUGAAAGCCCGCGGCUCAACUGCGGAACGGCUUUGGAAACUGAGUAACUAGAGUGCUGGAGGGGCAGGCGGAAUUCCUGGUGUAGCGGUGAAAUGCGUAGAUAUCAGGAGGAACACCAGUGGCGGAGGCGGCUUACUGGACGGUAACUGACGCUGAGGCUCGAAAGCGUGGGGAGCAAACAGGAUUAGAUACCCCGGUAA